This 1546-nucleotide long non-coding RNA is filed under the name Malus domestica (apple). RNAcentral describes it as "long non-coding RNA (MDOM_LNC018224)". Lineage: Eukaryota; Viridiplantae; Streptophyta; Magnoliopsida; Rosales; Rosaceae. The record is from RNAcentral.
GUCUUAAAUCUUCUACAAUUUAGGGAAACAAAUCAGAAAUUUAAAGGAAAUAAGCUAAAAGGUGUGGCAAGGCUUUAAAGUAGAUUAGGAAAGUGUCUAAAUGCAAGAUUUAGGAAAGAAUGACUCUUCCUUGCACGGUGAUUGGAUCAUAUUUAUAUAUAUUUUUACUUCGAAUUCACUCGUGUUUUCUUAGUUAGUUCCUUAUAUUUUUGAGCUAUUUACGUUAUUUUGUGUUUAUAGGAUUUGUUAUGCAAAGAAAAUAAAAUUAGCACAAAUGGGUUUAAAUAAUAAACAGGAAAGUGGAACACGGGUGGACCACUAGAAAAAUAAUGGAGCAAAUAAAAGAAUUAAAGAUGGAGCAAGUGGAUCGUUAAUUGUGAAUUGAAAUGACUGCCUUUUUAAGAAGUGAGAGAGACACAGGCUGGAAAAAGCAGAAAAGAAAAGGAACAAAAUGAGCACAAGGCAGCAGAAAACCAGGGAGUGGAAAGAAAGGCAAACGGAAAUAAUAGAAAUGAGGGCAGUGCGCAAGAGUGGAGGACAGUGCGGACAGCAGUGAUAGGAGCAUAUUUAUGCGCCUUAGUUAGCUAGUUCUUACGCAUUUUCGUUAUGUUUUCUUCGUUAAAGUAGUCUUUUAAGCUACUUUCAUGUGUUUUCAGGUUUAAGGGACAUAUUACAUGAAAUGAUGCAAGUUUGAGCUUUUGGAGCAAAAUGUGAGCUUGGAUUGAAAAGGACAUGCUUGGAACACAAGGUUGGGAUGGAAUUGAAGAGUUGAAAAUUCGAGGUUUCCUACUCGAAGUAGGAAAGCUAAGCCUAAAAGUUUCCAUUUUGGGUUGAACUUUCCUAAAUCGGAAUUGGCAACUAAAGUUUCUAAAGUUGGAAGUUUCUAUUCUUGGAGGUUUCCAUUUUCGUGAGUUUCUAUUCUUGGCUUUGGGCUUUUGGAUGACCCAUCUUCACUUCUUGGACCUAUGCCGCACCUAGGCCUUGUUCACAUGCAAAAAUCUGAUUAUAAACCCUAAGCCUAGUCCAUUAAGGUAGCCGCACCUAACCCUAGCCCAAUCUGAUUUCUAGGGUUUUAGGUACCUAUAUAUAUAUGUUUUACCCCUUAGCCGCACCAUUCACCUCCCAUUCUAAAAAUCAGAAAUCGCCACCACCCAUUGCAGCAACCUUUCCCACCUUUUGCCGCAGCUUCCAUCCAUUCCAGCACCAUUCCACACAUCCAUACACCAUUCUCCACCUCCAUAAACCAUUCCCACACCUUGCCGCACCACCAUACUAUCCUAUCUACCUUUCAAAACCCAAAAACACAUCCAGAAAACUCCAUUCACGCCAGAACCUGUCCCUCACCUUUGCCGAGCCCAACCUUCACCCAACUCCAUAUUUUCUGACCCCAAACCUUCCUAGCCGUGCCCUACACCCAUCCUAGACAUUUUUCCACCAUUCUCCCUCGUCCAAAAUCAUCCAAAACUACCCAAAAAUCCCCUAAACCCUCACUGCCGCAGCAAGGAGAAGAAGAAAGAGGAGCUUUCUGUGCAGAUUUCAAAGUGGA